Molecule: unclassified non-coding RNA, 182 nt
Filed under: uncultured Cantharellales
Lineage: Eukaryota; Fungi; Basidiomycota; Agaricomycetes; Cantharellales
Description: sequence contains ITS1
Source: RNAcentral
ACGAAUUGUAAUGGGAGUUGAUGCUGGCAGCUUGGCUGUAAUGUGCUCGCUCCUGAUCGCAAACACCUGUGCACAUAUUUAGAGAGGGGUCUCCGAGUUGUGCACGCUUGGGGUCCCUUGCUCUGAUAGACACAUUAGUUAAAUAUUGAACGUGAUUGUGCCGUGAGGCCUUAAUAUUAAUA